AACGCCUGGCUGCAGUUAAAAGCUCGUAGUUGGAUUUCGGGUGGGGCCUGCCGGUCCGCCGUUUCGGUGUGCACUGGCAGGGCCCACCUUGUUGCCGGGGACGGGCUCCUGGGCUUCACUGUCCGGGACUCGGAGUCGGCGCUGUUACUUUGAGUAAAUUAGAGUGUUCAAAGCAGGCCUACGCUCUGAAUACAUUAGCAUGGAAUAACACGAUAGGACUCUGGCCUAUCCUGUUGGUCUGUAGGACCGGAGUAAUGAUUAAGAGGGACAGUCGGGGGCAUUCGUAUUUCAUUGUCAGAGGUGAAAUUCUUGGAUUUAUGAAAGACGAACUACUGCGAAAGCAUUUGCCAAGGAUGUUUUCAUUAAUCAAGAACGAAAGUUGGGGGCUCGAAGA
Molecule: ribosomal RNA, 394 nt
Filed under: Chlorella sp. MACC 793
Lineage: Eukaryota; Viridiplantae; Chlorophyta; Trebouxiophyceae; Chlorellales; Chlorellaceae
Description: SSU rRNA
Rfam family: Eukaryotic small subunit ribosomal RNA
Source: RNAcentral